Molecule: long non-coding RNA, 431 nt
Filed under: Parus major (Great Tit)
Lineage: Eukaryota; Metazoa; Chordata; Aves; Passeriformes; Paridae
Description: lncRNA (ENSPMJG00000013814.1)
Source: RNAcentral
CGGGGAGAUUGGUGACAUCAUCUCCUGCAGAAGUGUCCCCAGUCAGGGCUGAACAUUCAUCCUGUUUCCUGUGUUCAUGGAGCUGUGGUGUUGCCUAGGCCCACCUUUACCAGGAUUAUUGAAGCAAUUAUCAAUAUUAUUUGUGAACAAAGCAAAGUCACUCAAAGAUCUGGAAACUGUGUUACAAGCACUAACCACAGGUUCCUGUAAGAAGCCACAAAACUGAAACUAAAUACUGUAAGUGAUGGCUACACAGUGAUUAAAAUAGAACUUUCAGCAGUAUGGACAGAGAAACUGUUUAAACAACUACAAGGCAGGAAUAAGAAGAAACAAAUGGCGGUGAAUUUCUUUCUGCUUUCUGAGGCAAUAUUGGCAUGGAAAAUGUGCUUUGGAAAAGAAAUAAAGAAAUAAUACACAGGAGAAAGCUGACA